This 442-nucleotide ribosomal RNA is filed under the name uncultured bacterium. RNAcentral describes it as "partial 16S ribosomal RNA". It matches the Rfam family "Bacterial small subunit ribosomal RNA", at positions 338 to 795 of the family's 1533-position model. The record is from RNAcentral.
CCUACGGGCGGCUGCAGUGGGGAAUAUUGGGCAAUGGGCGCAAGCCUGACCCAGCAACGCCGCGUGAAGGAAGAAGGCUUUCGGGUUGUAAACUUCUUUCAAGGGGGAAGAGCAGAAGACGGUACCCCUUGAAUAAGCCACGUCUCACUACGUGCCAGCAGCCGCGGUAAUACGUAGGUGGCAAGCAUUGUCCGGAUUUACUGGGUGUAAAGGGCGUGCAGCCGGAGAGACAAGUCAGAUGUGAAAGCAACGGGCUCAACCCGUGGACUGCAUUUGAAACUGUGUCCCUUGAGUGUCGGAGAGGUAAGCGGAAGUCCUUGUGUAGCGGUGAAAGGCGUAGAUAUAAGGAAGAACACCAGUGGCGAAGGCGGAUUACUGGACGAUAACUGACGGUGAGGCGCGAAAGCGUGGGGAGCAAACAGGAUUAGAUACCCUUGUAGUC